AUUGUGUGAAUACAUAGCACAUUCGAGGUAGACGCAGAGAACUGAAACAUCUAAGUACCUGCAGGAAGAGAAAGAAAAUUCGAUUCCCUGAGUAGCGGCGAGCGAAACGGGAAAAGCCCAAACCAGCAAGCUUGCUUGUUGGGGUUGUAGGACUCCAAUAUGGUAGUUCUUUCAGAUAGUCGAAUGACUUGGAAAAGUCAGUCAAAGAGGGUAAAAACCCCGUAGACGAAAUGUGGAAGACACCUAGGAGGAUCCUGAGUACGGCGGAACACGAGAAAUUCCGUCGGAAUCCGGGAGGACCAUCUCCCAAGGCUAAAUACUCCCUAGUGACCGAUAGUGAACCAGUACCGUGAGGGAAAGGUGAAAAGCACCCCGGAAGGGGAGUGAAAUAGAACCUGAAACCGUGUGCCUACAACAAGUCAAAGCCCGUUAAUGGGUGAUGGCGUGCCUUUUGUAGAAUGAACCGGCGAGUUACGAUUGCAUGCGAGGUUAAGUUGAAGAGACGGAGCCGCAGCGAAAGCGAGUCUGAAUAGGGCGUUUGAGUAUGUAGUCGUAGACCCGAAACCAUGUGAUCUACCCAUGUCCAGGUUGAAGGUGCGGUAAAACGC
This 608-nucleotide ribosomal RNA is filed under the name Enterococcus faecium. RNAcentral's name for it is "partial 23S ribosomal RNA". It matches the Rfam family "Bacterial large subunit ribosomal RNA", at positions 153 to 764 of the family's 2925-position model. Lineage: Bacteria; Bacillati; Bacillota; Bacilli; Lactobacillales; Enterococcaceae. The record is from RNAcentral.